AGUUUCCAGGUCUGUGGUUGCAAGUCGAAGCCAGCUGCAGGCUAAACGACCCACGUAAGGCGGCAGUAUAGUGCCGCUGAUCAUGGUGCGGCUUAGAAGUAAGCCCGACCAGGUUUUCAUGGAACCGUAAGGAAGGACGCUACAAGAAUCCCCGCUUUUCUAUGCCGUGGAUCCAGCGACUCCCCAAGGAUGCCAAAAACCUGAGAGAAGAAGUAGUGAGGAAGGCCAACCUUUAUUAGCGAAACUUCCUGUCGGCGGGUGUGGGGUCAAGCCAGGUCAGCUGGAACGA
RNAcentral lists this non-coding RNA (289 nucleotides) under unclassified sequences. RNAcentral describes it as "raiA RNA". It matches the Rfam family "raiA RNA". The record is from Rfam by way of RNAcentral.